Apis florea (little honeybee) is the source of this 397-nucleotide long non-coding RNA. The record is from RefSeq and is a predicted model, not a curated record. Lineage: Eukaryota; Metazoa; Arthropoda; Insecta; Hymenoptera; Apidae.
CAAGCUUGAUACAUAUGGCGUCAUUCCCUUGUGGAAAGUCGUCGCGACAGGAUGUGUUAUGUUUGUGCGUGAUUUGUUUUUAUUUCUACUUCGCCGCUAUUUGUGGACUACAAUUACAGUUUCAUUUACUUGAUUAUUGAAGAUUUCGAGAAUAACUUUAUAAAGAAGUAAGGUUAUGCAUCAGAGACGCUUUAAUGACGAAUUCGGUUGAAUUGGAAUCCUCUCAUACAGGUUCAGCAAUAAUUUAUUUCAACAAAUCAUCAAUUGACAUUUUUUGCAUUUUUCUACUUACAUCGUUUAUACGUGAAAAUAGUGUUUUGUUAUUGGGUUAUAACAAAUUCGAGGACAACAUCUUUCGCAUCUGACGAGCAUCUGGUGAGUCGCAUGCAUUUUUGUU